RNAcentral lists this ribosomal RNA (358 nucleotides) under uncultured bacterium. RNAcentral describes it as "partial 16S ribosomal RNA". It matches the Rfam family "Bacterial small subunit ribosomal RNA", at positions 338 to 710 of the family's 1533-position model. The record is from RNAcentral.
CCUACGGGGGGCAGCAGUGGGGAAUAUUGCGCAAUGGGGGCAACCCUGACGCAGCAACGCCGCGUGAUUGAAGAAGGCCUUCGGGUUGUAAAGAUCUUUGAUUGGGGAUGAAAACAAUGACGGUACCCAAAGAGCAAGCCCCGGCUAACUACGUGCCAGCAGCCGCGGUAAUACGUAGGGGGCAAGCGUUAUCCGGAUUGACUGGGUGUAAAGGGUGCGUAGGUGGGUUAGUAAGUUGGGGGUGUAAUUCCGGGGCUUAACCCCGGAGCUGCUGUCAAAACUGCUAGUCUAGAGUGAAGGAGAGGCAAGCGGAAUUCGUGGUGUAGCGGUGAAAUGCGUAGAUAUCAGGAGGAACACC